UUCUUAUCCCCACUUUAUAUACUGAGCAUGAUGUCACAUGGAAUGGAGUAUCCCUUCGGUCAGCUGGAGUCACCUGUCCUUUCUGCGUCUCCUCCCAACCUCCCAUACACCCCCAGUCUCCUCACCAGCGUGGGAGGAGAGGGAGGA
This is a long non-coding RNA of Chiroxiphia lanceolata (lance-tailed manakin), 147 nucleotides long. RefSeq lists it as uncharacterized. Lineage: Eukaryota; Metazoa; Chordata; Aves; Passeriformes; Pipridae. The record is from RefSeq and is a predicted model, not a curated record. The transcript is spliced from 3 exons.